CCUACGGGUGGCAGCAGUGGGGAAUAUUGCACAAUGGUGGAGACCCUGAAGCAGCGACGCCGCGUGAGUGAAGAAGGAUUUCGGUAUGUAAAGCUCUAUUAGCAGGGAAGAAAAGGACGGUACCUGAUUAAGAAGCACCGGCUAACUACGUGCCAGCAGGCGCGGCAAUACGUAGGGGGCCAGCGUUAUCCGGAUUUAGUGGGUGUAAAGGGAGCGUAGAGGGCAGCAAUAGUCUGGAGUGAAAUGCCGGGGCCUAACCCCGGAACUGCUUUUGAAACUGUGCAGCUCGAGUGGAGGAGAGGUAAGUGGAAUGCCCAGUGUAGCGGUGAAAUGCGUAGAUAUUAGGAGGAACACCAGUUGCGAAGGCGGCUUACUGGACCGUAACUGACGUUGAGGCUCGAAAGCGUGGGGAGCAAACAGGAUUAGAUACCCGUGUAGUC
RNAcentral lists this ribosomal RNA (440 nucleotides) under uncultured bacterium. RNAcentral's name for it is "partial 16S ribosomal RNA". It matches the Rfam family "Bacterial small subunit ribosomal RNA", at positions 338 to 795 of the family's 1533-position model. The record is from RNAcentral.